Molecule: ribosomal RNA, 1346 nt
Filed under: uncultured bacterium
Lineage: Bacteria
Description: bacterial SSU rRNA
Rfam family: Bacterial small subunit ribosomal RNA
Source: RNAcentral
GACGAACGCUGGCGGCGUGCUUAACACAUGCAAGUCGAACGGAGAGGCCCUGCUUUUGUGGGGUGCUCGAGUGGCGAACGGGUGAGUAACACGUGAGUAACCUGCCCUUGACUUUGGGAUAACUUCAGGAAACUGGGGCUAAUACCGGAUAGGAGCUCCUGCUGCAUGGUGGGGGUUGGAAAGUUUCGGCGGUUGGGGAUGGACUCGCGGCUUAUCAGCUUGUUGGUGGGGUAGUGGCUUACCAAGGCUUUGACGGGUAGCCGGCCUGAGAGGGUGACCGGCCACAUUGGGACUGAGAUACGGCCCAGACUCCUACGGGAGGCAGCAGUGGGGAAUAUUGCACAAUGGGCGGAAGCCUGAUGCAGCAACGCCGCAUGCGGGAUGACGGCCUUCGGGUUGUAAACCGCUUUCGCCUGUGACGAAGCGUGAGUGACGGUAAUGGGUAAAGAAGCACCGGCUAACUACGUGCCAGCAGCCGCGGUGAUACGUAGGGUGCGAGCGUUGUCCGGAUUUAUUGGGCGUAAAGGGCUCGUAGGUGGUUGAUCGCGUCGGAAGUGUAAUCUUGGGGCUUAACCCUGAGCGUGCUUUCGAUACGGGUUGACUUGAGGAAGGUAGGGGAGAAUGGAAUUCCUGGUGGAGCGGUGGAAUGCGCAGAUAUCAGGAGGAACACCAGUGGCGAAGGCGGUUCUCUGGGCCUUUCCUGACGCUGAGGAGCGAAAGCGUGGGGAGCGAACAGGCUUAGAUACCCUGGUAGUCCACGCUGUAAACGGUGGGUACUAGGUGUGGGGUCCAUUCCACGGGUUCCGUGCCGUAGCUAACGCUUUAAGUACCCCGCCUGGGGAGUACGGCCGCAAGGCUAAAACUCAAAGGAAUUGACGGGGCCCCGCACAAGCGGCGGAGCAUGCGGAUUAAUUCGAUGCAACGCGUAGAACCUUACCUGGGUUUGACAUGGAUCGGGAGCGCUCAGAGAUGGGUGUGCCUCUUUUGGGGUCGGUUCACAGGUGGUGCAUGGCUGUCGUCAGCUCGUGUCGUGAGAUGUUGGGUUAAGUCCCGCAACGAGCGCAACCCUUGUUCACUGUUGCCAGCACGUUAUGGUGGGGACUCAGUGGAGACCGCCGGGGUCAGCUCGGAGGAAGGUGGGGAUGACGUCAAGUCAUCAUGCCCCUUAUGUCCAGGGCUUCACGCAUGCUACAAUGGCUGGUACAGAGAGUGGCGAGCCUGUGAGGGUGAGCGAAUCUCGGAAAGCCGGUCUCAGUUCGGAUUGGGGUCUGCAACUCGACCUCAUGAAGUCGGAGUCGCUAGUAAUCGCAGAUCAGCAACGCUGCGGUGAAUACGUUCCCGGGGCU